This is a long non-coding RNA of Coregonus clupeaformis (lake whitefish), 747 nucleotides long. RefSeq lists it as uncharacterized. Lineage: Eukaryota; Metazoa; Chordata; Actinopteri; Salmoniformes; Salmonidae. The record is from RefSeq and is a predicted model, not a curated record. The transcript is spliced from 2 exons.
ACCUGCAGGAUCGGGUCACCGCCUUGAUGUUAGCGGAGAACGACAGGGUGUUGUCCAGGGUCACGCCAAGGCUCUUACUUACUUUGAUUUCUACUUCUCAGGUGAGGGUGCUGUUUAGGUAAGGGUGAUGUCUGUUCAAAACAAAACAUGCUCUUUUAAGAUUCACCCAUAUAUACAUUUUUUAGAACAAUUAGACACCCUGUAACCCACACCUACACACUCGUGUAUCAAUCUGAUUGAUGGAUUGUGUUGUGCAGGCUCAAGUGUAUAACUGGCUCCUUUCACCUUCAAAGAAUAGGCAAGAGGACCAUCCAUGAAGAAUAGUAUGUUUUGAUGUGAGAGAGGAUGCCAACCCCCAGUCCCGUCAUCGCCACCUCACCCGCUCUUAAGAUAACCUUCGGGCCAACUGGGAGCCCAAGGCUGGUUAGGAGACACCGCGAGACACUUCUGUAAUUGUGACGAACUGAGAGAAUAUUAAGUUUAGUAGCACUGUAAUUCAAUAAUCAUACAUUGUCUUCCCUGCUCCUCUGUUCUUACCUAUUUACCUUUCUGUCUUUUACACUCUUAUACCUCUGUCCACCACCUCUUUCUUCCUCUGUUUUUAUAAUGCACACCAGAUGAGCAUUGAAGUACAGAUUUAACUUGUAUUUGUAAUAUAUUACAAUUAUAAUAUUUAUAAUGGAUGUAUUAUGUAUUUGUAACACUUGGAUAAUGAACUUCUUUCAAUAAAGUGUUUCACAUUCUCUA